GUAUGCCCUGGUCAUGUUUCCCAUCCUUCUGGUUUGUUCUUUACUGAUACUUUCUGAAUAUCAUCUCUUGUAAUUUAUGUGGGCUGGGGGUCUAGAUGAAGGUGGAGUGCAGUUUAAAUAUUGAAGUAGCAUCCUCCAUACACCCCCCUUUUGGGCUGAUUGUUACCACCCAGUAUAAAGGGAUAAUUCUGGUGCUAACUGUUCUUGAUGAUUAUUGGAAAAGGAAGGAAUUGCUUACUCUCUGGCUGAGUUGUGGCUCUCGCUCCAGCAUCUGUGUGGAAGCAUGCCUGGUUUUUCCAUCUCUCAGCACUGGUCCUUGGGGCCUUUGAACAGCGAUGUAAUGUUUUAUGGCUGGGCCAUUCUAUGAACACUUGCCACAGGAGGCUAUUGGGCAACUGACUAUGGAGAAACUGGACUUUCAAUUUUAUUAAAUAUUCAUUAAGUUAUAUUAAAUGGACACAAAGAGUAGUGGCUACAAUAUGAGACAACACAGCUAGAUAUCUGUAUAUGUUCUUAACUCUGACUUACUUCAUUCUUCCAGAAAGAGGUCUGCAUGACCUGUGGAGGCAGUCACAGCCAGCUCCUUGUACACAGGCUCACUUUGGCUCUCCUUGUAUCUUGUGCAAAUUCUAACUGCUUCAUCUCCAUGUCCAGAUCAGCAGUGGAGGUUCUUGAGAAAAGUCAUGGCUUCAGCUACUGGCACCAACAAGGUGAAAGAGAUCGCCACCUGCUCCAUCUGCCUGAACCUCAUUAUGCACCCAGUAAGCAUCACCUGUGGACACAGCAACAGUCAGUGUGGUUUGAAGCUGCACCUCUGCCAGAUGUCCCAAAAGCAGGGUCAAAAGAGAUUUCCCCGUCCUGAAUGUCGGGAGCCUUUUCAUAAAGAUAGGCUGUGUUCCAACAGGCUACUGGGAACUCUCACUGAAGUUAUACAGGAAAUGGAGGAGACAGAGGAUGAGCUGCUGUGAGGCCCAUGGACAGCAGCUCCAGCUCUUCUGUAAAGAUGACAACCAGCUCAUCAGCUGGCACUGUGAGCGGGGACCACAGCACCAAGGCAUGCCCUGGUGCUGGUAGAGGAUGUGUGCCAGGGGUACAAGGUGAGUAUACAUCCGGGCCUCAGCAGGGACCCACCCUGUGCUGCUUGCAAGACCUGAGCUUAUUGGUCCCAAAGCUAAAAAUGAUGACCCUGAAGCACAGAGAUGGUAUUCUUUUGAAAAAUACCUUGUGAUGGGUCUUUGCUGAAUCCAUAUCUAAGUGUCCCCCUGACAUUUAGCAGGAUGCUCAAACUCCUGUCCCUAUUCUGUGUGUCAUCAUGGACUUCUCCCUGCUCUGGGACAUGCCAACCAAACACCUACCUGGGUUCUGCUUCACACUGUGUGUACUGGAAGGGGAGGAGAUUCUAGAGUUCAGAGUCUUAAUACUUCAGGAAAGUGACUUCCUGGAGCACCUGGCUUUGGUGCUGAGAGAGGAGUGGUUCAUCCCAGAGGUGGCUCCUGAGACACCUCUACUUAGCCCCUGCAGGGUGCCCAGGCACAAGGAUCUGCACAUGCAAAGGCACAGGCAUGGGGUUUCUGAUUCACCUUGGCCAGGUUAUGGGCUGUGUGCAGAGGACAGGCAGCUGGGAACAAGGGAAAGGAAGACAGGCCACAGCAUCUGAGUGGCAGCUCCCAGUCUCAAUCCUAGACCGUAGUAUAUGUAACCUGCCACAGGGGCAUUUCUACAUGCAGAGUAAAGAUUCACUACCAUUGAAAAAAUUAUCCAUGCAGUCUGAAAAUACAAGGAAUAUCCAGUUAGAAUUCAAAUGAUCCCUUCAAGAAAGGAAGCCAGAGGGAAGUUUCAAACAACAUUCUAGAGGGGUGAUAGAUUUAGGAAGUGAUGGACGUUGAAGAUGAGUGGAGACAGUGGUUUUGAAAGCUCCUAGGUAUCCACCGAGAGCUUGCAGGGGACUGGCCUGUGCAGUGGUGAAGGAAGGAGCCAGUUCUGCUUCACUGGCUCUGAGCCCUGUUAGAGCUCAAAAGCAUGGCUGAGCUUGGGCUCCUGGUUCUCUCCUUUGUGAUAGAGAGCUGAGGUCCUAUGAAAGAUCCAAUGCCUUCCUAAGGUCACAUCAGUCCUGACCUCGACUCAGCACACAGUGCUUCCUUAGACUCUAUGGAGCUUCGAAUGCCUGUAACAGGGGUGCUCCUGUUUGAGUUUCUCUGCCACCCCCAGUGGGGACAGGAGCAACACAGGAUCAUGGUUGUCAGCCUCAGAGGCAGACAGCUGAGGUUGAAAUCUUAGCUCUUGUGUUACUAGAAGGACAGUUUGAGGUAAGUUAUUAAGUGUCUUCAGGGCUUGGUUUUCCCAAGGAAUAAAAGCAUUCCCCUCCCUCCCUAACACACAUGUCCAGGGAGUGCAUGAGUUGUAAGGAUAUUAUCACAUGUAGAGCUUAGAAUAACAUGUGGCUGGUAGCCAGAGCAAGGCAGUCUCCUAAAUCAGUUUGGUUGAUAGCUUUCCUGAGAGCGUGAGAGAAUUCAUGCAUGUCCUUGUGGGGCUUACAAAAGAAGAGCCAUUGCUUUUGACGAUGAAUAAUUGGUGUUCACCUCAACUUGCUUUCAAGGAAAGUUUGAGAGAUUGCUUUGAAAGAUUGGCUAAAAUUUAACAUGGGCACUAAGACGUUUUAAAUUGGAUUCAUGAUUCUGUCUUCACUGCACUCUGGAACUCUUCAAUGGGUGUUACCUGCUUCUAAUAACUUCAGUUGUCAUCCUGCUCUUUCCUUUCUGACUCACCCACAAUACUAACAAAGUUAGAGGUCUCAAACAUCAUGGAAGUGGUUAUUUUUGGUUCAGCACAUUAAUGUAUAAGAUUUUGUUUUGAUGAUGGUCGUAUCUGUUUGUAAUUUUCCCUUGGCCCUAGUGUGGUGGGGCACAUGGCAUAGCCCCUGGUCAGCAUGGGGCAUGAGAAUGGCAGCCCAUUUGCCUACCAGGUAUUCUCCCAUGGCAGUUAUUCAACCUCUUCAGAGGCUCCUUUUCCACAGUAGAAAGGAUAUUCAAAUCCUUACUAACUGUUCAGUGUUGGUGAGGGGAUCUGUACGUCACAGCCCCUGCAGCAUGCAAGAGUCUCUCGGGCAAACCUAAGAACUCAGUUAAUAUUCACAGUUAUUUUAGUACAUCUUGGAUGCUGGAAUUUCCAUUAGGUGUCCCAGAAGAAUCAAAUUGGGUAGACUUUAUUCACCCAAUUUUUCCUUCAGGAAAAUCUAGAACAAGCUCCCAGAAAGUUGAAUCAACUCAAGAGGAAUGCGUGAAUCAAAAAUGUUUAUAACAAUCCAGAUAAUGGAAGGAUAAGACAGAGAUUCAGAGACAGAAAAAUCAAGUCUGAAUUUAAGAAUCUCCACACUUUUCUGCACAGUGAGAGGGAUUCUUAUCUGUGGAGGCUGGAGAAAGAAGAGCAGAUGCUGAUGAGCCUGAGGGAGAAUGAGGCCAACUUGGAGUGGAAGAACCAUGAACUCAAGAGCCACCUCCUGGAACUAGAGGCAAAAUGUCAGAGCUCAGCCCAGAAACUGGCGCAGGACUUGUGCUGUGAAGCUGGAAGCACCUGAGGCCUUUUCCUUGGAGGUUCAGACUGUGUUUGGUGCUGCUGAACUUUACAGGAAUAUGAAGAUGAAGUUAAUGGGUUAUCAAGCGACCUCAUCAAAAGAGAAUAGGAAGGGGAAACUAUCUCCCUAACAGACUUUCUGGAUGACAGCAGAGGCAUUGAUAGAGGAAGAAGCACUUAUGGCCUCAAAUCAAUCAGCUGGGCUGAUGAAACAGAUGACUGGGAAGAGGAUGUUUCAGCCAGAUGGCAGAGUGGGGAUGAGGAUGUGUAUGGGGUUCCUGGAACUGACCAUGUUGUCCUUGCCACCGCUCCAUGUGCUGCUCAGGAACCCAGUGUCGACUGGAGCUGUCUGCCCAAGUCUCUGCCCUACCCUGCUUUUCUUGGGAACCUUCCCAAAGAUCUGAUCAAAGAUUUGGUUAAGAACUUCUUUAGAGGAUUAAAUAUCAGGGUGGUGCAUUUACCAUGUGACCCCUGCAAUCCAAAAAGGUAGAAAGGUUUUGGUUCUGUUCAGUUUGGGAACUUGGAUUCCCUGCUCUGUGCCCUGAGUCUCAAUAAACUGUGUCUAGGCAAAAGAAUAGUUCGAGUUGGAUUAGCUGAUCAAGCAUAGCAAGACAGCACAUAGGAGCCUGACAAAACAGACACAGACUGGAGGGCCCGACCUGCCACAGACAGCUUUGAUGAUGACAGCCCACCCAGAAGCAGUGAUGAUGGCUUUGGAUGCAAGUAUCAAGACUGUUAUGAUUCAGAUAGUGGUGGGUAUCAGAAUGGCCUAUCCUGGCCUAUGAAUCCAUAUAGGAGCCGGGAUCAUUAGGGCCACCAAGGCAGCAGAGACUCUGAUAGAGACUGUGAUUCCAGAAUAGGCAAUGGCAGAAGAGCCCUCCAUAGUGAGUGCCAUAGAGAUAAUUACUACAAAGGAGGUGGAGACCAUGGUGAUGACCCAUAUGCUGACAGCUCAUGGGGCUCCAGAGAUGAUUACUAAGACAAUUCUUGGUGCAAUUGUAGAGGUCUGCCCCACAGACCCAGACUGAAUCUGAAACCUGGGAGUACUCCUAAGGAAAACGAUUCUUCCACCACCCCCUUCCAGCCCAGUCGAGCACCUUCCAUCUUUAGAGGGGUAAAGCCUGUUGACACAGCUGCUAGGGAAAGAGAAGUGGAGGAAUGGAUGCAGAAGGAGCAGGAGAGAUCUUCGUGGGGGCCAGAUAAUCCAAAACUAGAAUGGCGGUCAGGCUGGCAAAGGGAAGAAACUCAGGUAUAGGAAGGAAAAGUGAAUCACUGAAGACUGGAACCUCAGGCCCACCUGGCAAAAAUGCAUAAAGAAGAAAAAGAAGUCUCUAGAAAAUCAAAUACUCGGUAAGGUGGAAGAUUGUCACUCUUCAAUUUCUAAGCUUCCCCAAAGGUGAUCAGCUUCUAAAGGUAAUGCCAGCCACCCCACCAAAGGAGAAUGGGUGGUAAAGCACCAUCCUGCUCCAUCUCAGAGCUCUGGCACAGAGCAGAAAUCUCCUAGAGAUGGUAGUGGCUUGGAAGGUAGCUCCAACUCAGCCACCUGAAGAAAGACCAAUAAGGAAAAUUGCAAAUAAAAUGGAUGGGGUGUGUAUCCAAAAAGGCUAACCUGAGAACUCCUGUCAUAAUUCAGGAGACAGAGAAAAAAAAAAUCACUAGAAGGAGGUAGAUAGGAAGGAGGGCAAAGAGAAUCAAGACUCCAGCUCUGCACUUGUGCAAAGGAAAACAGGAAAAUCCAGCCUCCAAGUUCAGUUCUGCAAGCAGGUAAGCUGCUCUCUCCAUGAGUGGUGAAGAUGGAAACGAG
Molecule: long non-coding RNA, 5374 nt
Filed under: Heterocephalus glaber (naked mole-rat)
Lineage: Eukaryota; Metazoa; Chordata; Mammalia; Rodentia; Bathyergidae
Description: lncRNA (ENSHGLG00000038417.1)
Source: RNAcentral